UACGUAGGGUGCAAGCGUUAAUCGGAAUUACUGGGCGUAAAGCGUGCGCAGGCGGCCAUGCAAGACAGAUGUGAAAUCCCCGGGCUCAACCUGGGAACUGCAUUUGUGACUGCAUCGCUGGAGUGCGGCAGAGGGGGAUGGAAUUCCGCGUGUAGCAGUGAAAUGCGUAGAUAUCAGGAGGAACACCGAUGGCGAAGGCAGGUCUCUGGGCUGACACUGACGCUCAUGCACGAAAGCGUGGGGAGCAAACAGG
Molecule: ribosomal RNA, 253 nt
Filed under: uncultured bacterium
Lineage: Bacteria
Description: partial 16S ribosomal RNA
Rfam family: Bacterial small subunit ribosomal RNA
Source: RNAcentral